UAGUCCACGCCGUAAACGAUGGAUACUAGCUGUUCGUGCCACAUUGGUGGCAUGAGUGGCCAAGCGAAAGUGAUAAGUAUCCCACCUGGGGAGUACGUUCGCAAGAAUGAAACUCAAAGGAAUUGACGGGGGCCCGCACAAGCGGUGGAGCAUGUGGUUUAAUUCGAUGAUACGCGAGGAACCUUACCAAGGCUUAAAUGCAUGUUGACAGAUUUGGAGACAGAUUUUUCUUCGGACAAUAUGCAAGGUGCUGCAUGGUUGUCGUCAGCUCGUGCCGUGAGGUGUCAGGUUAAGUCCUAUAACGAGCGCAACCCCUGUUGUUAGUUACCAGCAAGAAAGAUCGGGACUCUAAGAAACUGCCUGCGAAAGCAGUGAGGAAGGAGGGGAUAAAGUCAAGUCAUCAUGGCUCUUACGCCUAGGGCUACACACGUGUUACAAUGGCGUGUACAGCGAGUCGCUACUUGGCAACAAGAUGCUAAUCUCUC
RNAcentral lists this ribosomal RNA (485 nucleotides) under uncultured bacterium. RNAcentral's name for it is "bacterial SSU rRNA". It matches the Rfam family "Bacterial small subunit ribosomal RNA", at positions 791 to 1277 of the family's 1533-position model. The record is from RNAcentral.